AACGAACGCUGGCGGCAUGCCUAACACAUGCAAGUCGAACGAGACCUUCGGGUCUAGUGGCGCACGGGUGCGUAACACGUGGGAAUUUGCCUCGGGGUAUGGAAUAACUCAGGGAAACUUGAGCUAAUACCAUAUAAUGUCUUCGGACCAAAGAUUUAUCGCCCUGAGAUAAGCCCGCGUAGGAUUAGCUAGUUGGUGGGUAAAGGCUCACCAAGGCGACGAUCCUUAGCUGGUCUGAGAGGAUGAUCAGCCACACUGGGACUGAGACACGGCCCAGACUCCUACGGGAGGCAGCAGUGGGGAAUUUUGGACAAUGGGCGGCAAGACCUGAUCCAGCAAUGCCGCGUGCAGGAUGAAGGCCU
RNAcentral lists this ribosomal RNA (362 nucleotides) under uncultured bacterium. RNAcentral's name for it is "bacterial SSU rRNA". It matches the Rfam family "Bacterial small subunit ribosomal RNA", at positions 29 to 417 of the family's 1533-position model. The record is from RNAcentral.